Non-coding RNA from Schistosoma mattheei, 46 nucleotides. The record is from Rfam. NCBI's taxonomy places the organism in Eukaryota, Metazoa, Platyhelminthes, Trematoda, Strigeidida, Schistosomatidae.
GCACUGCUGAGGAGUCCUACACUGGGACGAAACGUCCGUCCGGUGC